UUUCGCCUACGGGGGGCAGCAGUGAGGAAUAUUGGUCAAUGGGCGAGAGCCUGAACCAGCCAAGUCGCGUGAGGGAGUACUGCCCUAUGGGUUGUAAACCUCUUUUGUCGGGGAGCAAAAGCCGGACGUGUCCGUCUGUGAGAGUACCCGAAGAAAAAGCAUCGGCUAACUCCGUGCCAGCAGCCGCGGUAAUACGGAGGAUGCGAGCGUUAUCCGGAUUUAUUGGGUUUAAAGGGUGCGUAGGCGGGCUUUUAAGUCAGCGGUAAAAAUUCGGGGCUCAACCCCGUCCGGCCGUUGAAACUGGG
Molecule: ribosomal RNA, 305 nt
Filed under: uncultured bacterium
Lineage: Bacteria
Description: bacterial SSU rRNA
Rfam family: Bacterial small subunit ribosomal RNA
Source: RNAcentral